RNAcentral lists this ribosomal RNA (279 nucleotides) under Klebsiella pneumoniae. Its description in RNAcentral is "partial 23S ribosomal RNA". It matches the Rfam family "Bacterial large subunit ribosomal RNA", at positions 2664 to 2925 of the family's 2925-position model. The record is from RNAcentral. RNAcentral also lists the same sequence under 1 other name. Lineage: Bacteria; Pseudomonadati; Pseudomonadota; Gammaproteobacteria; Enterobacterales; Enterobacteriaceae.
GAGGGGGGCUGCUCCUAGUACGAGAGGACCGGAGUGGACGCAUCACUGGUGUUCGGGUUGUCAUGCCAAUGGCACUGCCCGGUAGCUAAAUGCGGAAGAGAUAAGUGCUGAAAGCAUCUAAGCACGAAACUUGCCCCGAGAUGAGUUCUCCCUGAGACUAUAAGUCUCCUGAAGGAACGUUAAAGACGAUGACGUUGAUAGGCCGGGUGUGUAAGCGCAGCGAUGCGUUGAGCUAACCGGUACUAAUGAACCGUGAGGCUUAACCUUACAACGCCGAAG